This is a non-coding RNA of Ictidomys tridecemlineatus (thirteen-lined ground squirrel), 489 nucleotides long. The record is from RefSeq and is a predicted model, not a curated record. Lineage: Eukaryota; Metazoa; Chordata; Mammalia; Rodentia; Sciuridae.
UGUACCAGUCUCCUGACCCCAGCCAUCUCUACACUGAGCAGCAUCCACUGUCUCUACCUCUCGGGGUUCUCAGUUAAUGCUUGUAACUGGGUUGUCCUAACAUUGACAGGACUCAGAUGUCAUUCGCUGCCAACUGAGUGCCUUGCGUGAACAGACACGGCUCCUCUCAUUUCACCGACGAUCCGCAGGGAAGAUAACGGCCUUCUCAUUUACGGUCACACAAUGUCGUCCAGGAGGAUCGCAUCCCCUGCUCUCCAGUACUUUCUUACAAAAGCUAUUUGAAACAACGAAGAAGCUAAGUUGUCUCUGAAGAUGUCAAGUUUUGGAAGAAUAUUUUGAGAACGAUAGGAGAAUAGUGGAUACAUUUGCUGCUGUCGUAUUGAUUUGUAAAAAGAAGUUCCAUGGAGUUCCAUAGGACCUUACAAGGCGCACACUCUCAGGAGGUUAAUUGAAUGAAUUAAUAAUAAAAAUCUCAGAUGAUCCAAUGAA